RNAcentral lists this ribosomal RNA (2824 nucleotides) under Klebsiella pneumoniae. RNAcentral describes it as "23S ribosomal RNA". It matches the Rfam family "Bacterial large subunit ribosomal RNA". Lineage: Bacteria; Pseudomonadati; Pseudomonadota; Gammaproteobacteria; Enterobacterales; Enterobacteriaceae. The record is from RNAcentral.
GGUUAAGCGACUAAGCGUACACGGUGGAUGCCCCGGCAGUCAGAGGCGAUGAAGGACGUGCUAAUCUGCGAAAGCGUCGGUAAGGUGAUAUGAACCGUUAUAACCGGCGAUGUCCGAAUGGGGAAACCCAGUGCAAUUCGUCACUAUCGUUAACUGAAUACAUAGGUUAACGAGGCGAACCGGGGAACUGAAACAUCUAAGUACCCCGAGGAAAAGAAAUCGAGAUUCCCCAGUAGCGGCGAGCGAACGGGGAGCAGCCCAGAGUCUGAAUCAGCUUGUGUGUUAGUGGAACGGUCUGGAAAGUCCGACGGUACAGGGUGAUAGUCCCGUACACCAAAAUGCACAGGUUGUGAACUCGAAGAGUAGGGCGGGACACGUGGUAUCCUGUCUGAAUAUGGGGGACCAUCCUCCAAGGCUAAAUACUCCUGACUGACCGAUAGUGAACCAGUACCGUGAGGAAAGGCGAAAAGAACCCCGGCGAGGGUGAAAAGAACCUGAAACCGUGUACGUACAAGCAGUGGGAGCACCUUCGGGUGUGACGUACCUUUGUAUAAUGGGUCAGCGACUUAUAUUCUGUAGCAAGGUUAACCGUAUAGGGAGCCGCAGAAACCGAGUCUUAACUGGGCGUUAAGUUGCAGGGUAUAGACCCGAAACCCGGUGAUCUAGCCAUGGGCAGGUUGAAGGUUGGGUAACACUAACUGGAGGACCGAACCGACUAAUGUUGAAAAAUUAGCGGAUGACUUGUGGCUGGGGGUGAAAGGCCAAUCAAACCGGCUGGUUCUCCCGAAAGCUAUUUAGGUAGCGCCUCGUGAACUCAUCUUCGGGGUAGAGCACUGUUUCGGCUAGGGGUCAUCCCGACUUACCAACCCGAUGCAAACUACGAAUACCGAAGAAUGUUAUGGGAGACACACGGCGGGUGCUAACGUCCGUCGUGAGGAAACAACCCAGACCGCCAGCUAAGGUCCCAAAGUCAUGGUUAAGUGGAAACGAUGUGGGAAGGCACAGACAGCCGGAUGUUGGCUUAGAAGCAGCCAUCAUUUAAAGAAAGCGUAAUAGCUCACUGGUCGAGUCGGCCUGCGCGGAAGAUGUAACGGGGCUAAACCAUGCACCGAAGCUGCGGCAGCGACACUAUGUGUUGUUGGGUAGGGAGCGUUCUGUAAGCCUGCGAAGGUGUGCUGUGAGGCAUGCUGGAGGUAUCAGAAGUGCGAAUGCUGACAUAAGUAACGAUAAAGCGGGUGAAAAGCCCGCUCGCCGGAAGACCAAGGGUUCCUGUCCAACGUUAAUCGGGGCAGGGUGAGUCGACCCCUAAGGCGAGGCCGAAAGGCGUAGUCGAUGGGAAACAGGUUAAUAUUCCUGUACUUGGUGUUACUGCGAAGGGGGACGGAGAAGGCUAUGUUAGCCGGGCGACGGUUGUCCCGUUUAAGCAUGUAGGCUGGUUAUCCGGCAAAUCCGGAUAAUCAAGGCUGAGGUGUGAUGACGAGGCACUACGGUGCUGAAGUAACAAAUGCCCUGCUUCCGGGAAAGCCUCUAAGCAUCAGGUAACAUCAAAUCGUACCCAGGUGGUGGUAGAGAAUACCAAGGCGCUUGAGAGAACUCGGGUGAAGGAACUAGGCAAAAUGGUGCCGUAACUUCGGGAGAAGGCACGCUGGUGUGUAGGUGAAGUCCCCGGAUGGAGCUGAGACCAGUCGAAGAUACCAGCUGGCUGCAACUGUUUAUUAAAAACACAGCACUGUGCAAACACGAAAGUGGACGUAUACGGUGUGACGCCUGCCCGGUGCCGGAAGGUUAAUUGAUGGGGUUAUCCGUAAGGAGAAGCUCUUGAUCGAAGCCCGGUAAACGGCGGCCGUAACUAUAACGGUCCUAAGGUAGCGAAAUUCCUUGUCGGGUAAGUUCCGACCUGCACGAAUGGCGUAAUGAUGGCCGGCUGUCUCCACCCGAGACUCAGUGAAAUUGAACUCGCUGUGAAGAUGCAGUGUACCCGCGGCAAGACGGAAAGACCCCGUGAACCUUUACUAUAGCUUGACACUGAACAUUGAGCCUUGAUGUGUAGGAUAGGUGGGAGGCUUUGAAGCGUGGACGCCAGUCUGCGUGGAGCCAACCUUGAAAUACCACCCUUUAAUGUUUGAUGUUCUAACGUUGGCCCCGGGGUUGCGGACAGUGUCUGGUGGGUAGUUUGACUGGGGCGGUCUCCUCCCAAAGCGUAACGGAGGAGCACGAAGGUUAAUCCCGGUCGGACAUCAGGAGGUUAGUGCAAUGGCAUAAGCUAGCUUGACUGCGAGCGUGACGGCGCGAGCAGGUGCGAAAGCAGGUCAUAGUGAUCCGGUGGUUCUGAAUGGAAGGGCCAUCGCUCAACGGAUAAAAGGUACCCGGGGAUAACAGGCUGAUACCGCCCAAGAGUUCAUAUCGACGGCGGUGUUUGGCACCUCGAUGUCGGCUCAUCACAUCCCGGCUGAAGUAGGUCCCAAGGGUAUGGCUGUUCGCCAUUUAAAGUGGUACGCGAGCUGGGUUUAGAACGUCGUGAGACAGUUCGGUCCCUAUCUGCCGUGGGCGCUGGAGAAUUGAGGGCUGCUCCUAGUACGAGAGGACCGGAGUGGACGCAUCACUGGUGUUCGGGUUGUCAUGCCAAUGGCACUGCCCGGUAGCUAAAUGCGGAAGAGAUAAGUGCUGAAAGCAUCUAAGCACGAAACUUGCCCCGAGAUGAGUUCUCCCUGAGACUUUAAGUCUCCUGAAGGAACGUUGAAGACGACGACGUUGAUAGGCCGGGUGUGUAAGCGCAGCGAUGCGUUGAGCUAACCGGUACUAAUGAACCGUGAGGCUUAACCUU